GACGAACCGUGCGAACGUUGUUCGGAUUCACUGGGCUUAAAGGGCGCGUAGGCGGGCGAUCAAGUCAGGGGUGAAAGCCUCCAGCUCAACUGGAGAAGUGCCUUUGAUACUGGUCGUCUUGAGGGAGGUAGGGGCAUGUGGAACUUCCGGUGGAGCGGUGAAAUGCGUAGAUAUCGGAAGGAACGCCGGUGGCGAAAGCGACGUGCUGGACCUCUUCUGACGCUGAGGCGCGAAAGCUAGGGGAGCGAAC
RNAcentral lists this ribosomal RNA (250 nucleotides) under uncultured bacterium. RNAcentral's name for it is "partial 16S ribosomal RNA". It matches the Rfam family "Bacterial small subunit ribosomal RNA", at positions 524 to 773 of the family's 1533-position model. The record is from RNAcentral.